RNAcentral lists this unclassified non-coding RNA (367 nucleotides) under soil metagenome. RNAcentral describes it as "partial contains 5.8S ribosomal RNA, internal transcribed spacer 2, and large subunit ribosomal RNA". The stretch from base 1 to 120 matches the Rfam family "5.8S ribosomal RNA", at positions 35 to 154 of the family's 154-position model. The record is from RNAcentral.
GAUGAAGAACGUAGCGAAAUGCGAUAAGUAAUGUGAAUUGCAGAAUUCAGUGAACCAUCGAAUCUUUGAACGCACAUUGCGCCCGGCAGUAAUCUGCCGGGCAUGCCUGUCCGAGCGUCAUUUCUGCCCUCGAGCCUGUCCAGCAUCUAGGUGCUGUUCCGGCCCGGCGUUGGGGCACUACGGGAAGCCUCGUGCUAUCCCCCGUAGGCCCCGAAAUGAAGUGGCGGUCCUGCCGCGGCUCCCCCUGCGUAGUAUUACAGCUCGCUUCGGGACCCGGUGGAGGCCUGCCGUCAAACCUUACUCUCUAAGUUUGACCUCGGAUCAGGUAGGGAUACCCGCUGAACUUAAGCAUAUCAAUAGCGGAGGA